CUGUGUCCUUCUGUGAAAACCACAGCUUCUGUCAGGUGGCCCCCGAGCAGCUGCAGUUCCAGGUCUCUUCAAGUUCUGGACUAGUGUGAAUACAUUGAGACCCGUGAUUCCCAGACUCUCUAGGUCUGUGGAACUCUUAACAGGACAACAGUCCAUUUGCCUCAGUGGUGCCUACCGGCAACCUAAAAAAAAAAAAAAAAUCUCCCAUCAGAAUGCUGGGUCACAACCCCUUAAUGGCCUGAGAUCCACAACUGGAGAAGCUGUGAUCUGGUAGACUUGCCAGGGAUCAAUGUGAUGAAGACUGAGUCAUCUCUGGAGGUGACAGGAUAGGAUCACUCUGCUGCUCUGGAGAGAAGUGACUAAAGAGGGCGAGAAGGAAACAAUGGGGCUGAUCAGGAGGCCAUCCCAGCAGUCCAGACAAGAGAUGAUGGUGGCGUGGAAUAGGCUGACAGUGAUGGAGGUGGUGAGAAGUGGUCCAAUUAGCAGUAUCUACUUUGAAGGAUGAUGUCUCUGCAUAUCCAUAAUACAACAUGGAACGUGAGGUGCCAAGAUAGAGUACACGAUGUUGUGGAAACUCAGAUGAAAAUUACAUCUGGCUGGGGGAUGAGCUGGCACUUGAGCUGUGUUUUCAAGGAUGAGUGGGCAGAAAUGGUGAGGGAGGAGAGAACUUUCCAAAAAAAGGGAAAAGCAUGCAAUUGAAGGCAAAAAAGAGGGAAAGUAGAGGGCAUAUUCAGGGCCCAGAGGUAAUUCGGUGGAUAUGGUGGGCCUGAAAGUGUAGAACAGGAAUAUAGCUGACCUGGUAGGUUUAGGAUAAGUUAUUAUGGGCCUUGUGUGCCAUGAUAGCAUUUGGGCAACGGAGAGCCACUGCAUGUUUCUGAGGAUGGUUUUAUGUGAUCAGCACUGAGCUUUACAAAGUUCUGGGUAACUGGGGCUGAAGGGGAACCUGGAAGCCUCUGCUUUGGGCCUCAGUAGACUCAUUCGUCAAGCAGAUCUUUGGCCUUCUCAGAUCCUGCACCCUUUGUUCCAGCCAAACCAGCUUUCUUCCUGACCAGUGGACUAGCCAGAAACACUCCUUCCUCUCUGCCUUUGCUCAUGCAGUUCUCAGCACCCAAAGCUCCUCUCCAUUUAUCCAGAUCUUCCCCCUUCUUUGGCUCCUUGGCCUCUAUCGCUCUCUCCUUUCUAUCAAAGCACUUGUCUACACUUCUCACGUUGGCUCUUAACCUCACAGACCCACUGACAUUUUGUUAAGUAUUUCCAGAAUAUAGGCCUUCUCCCAUGAGACAGAAAUUCCUGUCGGUCAGGGACAUCACCUGGCACUCCCUUUGUUCUCUCCACAGUGUCAGGCACUCAAUAGCCAUUAAACUGACCAUUCCCAUUCCUCAUAAGUGAGUUUGGAAAGCCAAGGGUAGAAAGGCACUUGUCCAGACACACUGAAAUCCAGACACAAAGCCAAAAGGACCCACUUCCUGCCUCCAACUCUCUUCCUAUUACUCCACUUCCUGGCCAUCCCAGCAAUGAACACACUUAGGUUUUGCCUUCCUUGGAACUAUCCUAAGGGGAAUAACCCUUGCCUUGGGAAUAGGAUCCCUGUAAAAGUAAAAGCACCAAGUCUCUGAUUUCCCUCAGGGAGACAGGGAAUGGCCUGGGUCAGAUUCCAUCGGAUUCCAUGUCCUCCCCAGUCUGCCUCGCACCUUGCCCCUCCCCCAGUGCUCGGUAUUUGGUUGGCGGGUGGCUUCCCCAGCUCCCUAAUCCAGGCUGUCUGCCACACCCUAUAUGGCUUUUCAUGGAGAGGGUUUACUUUAGGGGAUUCUACUCUGGAGUGCUUGUCCCAGGCAGCCCUCCACCUCGACUUGGUAACCGCCCAAUAGGUUCAUUUUACCCACUUCCCAGAUAGAACAGAUUUAUCAACGGAGGAAUUGCAAUAAUUCACGCAGAGCUGGCUGAUCGGGAGAAGAGAGUUUUAUUAUUACUCAAAUCAGUCUCUCUGAAAAUUCCAGACUAGU
This 2003-nucleotide long non-coding RNA is filed under the name Homo sapiens (human). Its description in RNAcentral is "HSALNT0174551". Lineage: Eukaryota; Metazoa; Chordata; Mammalia; Primates; Hominidae. The record is from RNAcentral.